CUCUCUCCCCUCCCUCCUGGCGCCGCACCGCGCCGCCGCCCUCCUUCCCCCCACGCCGCCGCGGUGCCGCCCACCCUCUCCCUCUUCCCCGCGGCUCGUCCUCGCCGCCCGCCCGCGGCCUGAACCGCCCCCUCCCGUUUUUCUCCUCAUCCUCCUCUCUCUUCCGUGCCCCCUCGCCGGUCGCCGGGACCCACCCCAGCGGCGGCGCGACCCUCCCCGGCCAGAUCCGGCUGGCGGCCUGCACCCUCAACCUUCCCCCAGCGCGAAUCCGACGCGGGAGAAGGCGAACCGGCCGCGGCGGUAGCGAUAAAUCGGCGCGGGCGGUGUGGGCGUUGACCAGUGUGCGCGGCUUCCUUCUUCGGCGGCUUCCUCAGCUGCCAUGGCAGGCAGUCCGAGCACGGGGCACCCGGCCGGCGCAAGGCGCGCCCCCAGUGCCUCCUAUGCCUCGCGCGCGAGCAGCCGGCCGCCCCUGCCCUCCGGCACCACCGCCACCGCUUCGCCGCGCCGCGGCCUUGGGCCUUCUUCUCCCUCUCCCUCUCCGGACCCUACUCUGGACGCCUGGUCUUCCUACGAGCUCCCUCGUUUCUCAGCCUGCUCCACGACCUAGCACCAACCCAAACCCUAGGGAGUCCGGUGAAGCUCCUGCAGCCCCGAUGCCCUCUUUCCCAGCGCCUGCGCCGCCCCUCGCCCCGUCAGCCGGCGCCUCGCCCGUACCCCGACGCCGCCUUGCCAGGCCGCUGCCUUUGAGCACGGCCACGACGUCACCCGCUGCUGCCAGGUUCCUCCGUCCUUCAGAACUUCACGAAAAUAUGGUCCUCUCUAUAUGACUUCCCCCAAAUUGAGUUCAUUCUUGCUCUGAGUUUGCCAUUCCCCCUUCCACCUUGUCGAAUUGAAUCAUGGCGUGUUGACUCAUCUUGUGUUUUUAGUAGAUGAGAAGGGAGAGGAUCAGCUAGAGGAUGAAGAUGCAACAAGUUAUCAAUUGGUGGUUUCUAAAUGUGGCUUUUGGAAUUCUGAUCAAUUUUGCUGUCCUGUGGCCUUAGUUCCUCUCAAUGAAACUUGCAACUGCGAAUCAACUUGACUUCACUUACCUGCGGACCCUCCUGCAAAAAAAUGUAUUUUUUCACCAGAUAAUACAAUUUCCAAGAAUACCUAGAUCAUCAAUCAAGGCACUGGUACUGUACUUAAACUUCUUUGAAUUGAGCUGUUCCAAAUCAGAUAUUGUGGACUCCUAAUUAUCUUUGUAUGCAAUACUAGAAGAUUCUGUUACUAAAAUAAGGUGUUUUAGGACUGUAAGAUUAGGUCCUCUUAGAGUUUUGAAUCAAUAACCACAAGAAAAGUUUAGAGAAAAAACAAGAUAAUAUCAUAGUAGAAAAGGAUAGUUUACUUUAUAGUUAGUACUUCACUAGCUACACACUUGUUUUAUUUUCUUUUUGCAGUAUGGAAUAGCGGAGAAAAAGCAACCAGAAAUGGCAUAUAGUGACAAUAGUUAACCUAUACUCAAAUAAAAUUGCAUAUACGAUCUAAAGUUUCAGUAACUACUUGUUAUUUUACACAGGUUAAUAUGCAGUCAAUUCAUGGUUUUGAAAUGGGGGCCGGAGCACUAAGAAGCUGGGCGGAAAUCAUCAUGCAUGGAACAUUUAAUUCUUUGUAUUAUUCCUAACAAUUUAUUCUGACUUUUAUUUAGGUUGUAAAGGUUGGUUGAAGCUGGGUUCUUACAAGGGAAAGUUAUCUGACAAUGUUAUCAGUUAUCACGAGCUUGGUUUUCAUGGUAGUUCUAAAGUACUUCGAGAUGGGAGAUUUUUUCUUUCUGAACAUUGAUAUUCUCUAAUUGUAAAUAUUCUCCAAUGUCUGAACCAGAAAUUUCAUGGACAAUCCAAAUAAUAGCUUCUUUGUACUUCUGCAUUUGCUUUAUCCGGAGCAACUUGCAGAAGUAUAGAGCAAAAGUGUAUUGUGCUUCUUCCA
Molecule: long non-coding RNA, 1962 nt
Organism: Panicum virgatum (switchgrass)
Lineage: Eukaryota; Viridiplantae; Streptophyta; Magnoliopsida; Poales; Poaceae
Exons: 2
Source: RefSeq, a predicted model, not a curated record